This 343-nucleotide ribosomal RNA is filed under the name uncultured fungus. RNAcentral describes it as "eukaryotic LSU rRNA". Lineage: Eukaryota; Fungi. The record is from RNAcentral.
AGACUCAAAUAGUACGUGAAAUUGCUAAAAGGGAAACGGUUGAAGUCAGUGUUGCGCCUAGGAAAUCAACCGUCAGUUUCUGAUGGUGCACUUUCUUGGGUGCAAGUCAACAUCAGUUUGGAGACGUGGAAAAAAUCCUGGGAAGGUAGCUGGCCUUCGGGCCAGUAUUAUAGCCUAGGAUGAUGCACGGAUCUGGACUGAGGACUGCAGCGCCAAAUUGGGACUUGUCGCAUUUUUGGGGGGUCGCUGGGUAUUCUGCCUGCAGAAUGCCUUGCUUCACCUAGUCUAUGUGGCUUUGUUCACACCAGCGCUUAGGAUGUUGACGAAAUGGCUUUAAACGACC